GUGAGAACCAUGAGCCUAGUCUCGACCUCAGGAGUUGCCUGAGGAAACUGAUGCUAAAAAUCCAAGUUGCAAAUCAAAAUAUUAGAAAAAUCAAGCCAUGCUCUAGACUUGGAAGCCCGACACUUAGAUCAUCUCUCUCUGAGCAGAGCCAGCUGUUGGCCCCCAUAGGAGUUGGAGACUUGGAAUCCCCUUUGGUGCAGAAACUAUUCCUUCAUGAGAAGAAGUCCUUAAAUAGGCUCUUUAGACAGGAGGCCACAUGUUGAAGGCAGCAGGGUCACAAGAUGGAAGAACCAGGGUCCCAGUAUCAUCGCUCCCUGCUUCAAGCUGCCAGGGGCAGCCUAACCCACAUGGCAUUAUGACAUAAGAAACAAAGUAACUAUUGUUUUAUUAAAUCAAUGAGAUAUUGGGCUUCUUGUUAUAGCAACUAGUAUAAAUUGCCCUGACUGAUACAUUAUGGAUUUAGAGUGCACUGUACUACAACUGUUUGUUGUAUUUUCAAA
This 500-nucleotide long non-coding RNA is filed under the name Homo sapiens (human). RNAcentral describes it as "non-protein coding RASGRF2-AS1:7". Lineage: Eukaryota; Metazoa; Chordata; Mammalia; Primates; Hominidae. The record is from RNAcentral.